Molecule: ribosomal RNA, 497 nt
Filed under: uncultured bacterium
Lineage: Bacteria
Description: partial 16S ribosomal RNA
Rfam family: Bacterial small subunit ribosomal RNA
Source: RNAcentral
GAUGAACGCUGGCGGCGUGCCUAAUACAUGCAAGUCGAGCGAACAGAUAAGGAGCUUGCUCCUUUGACGUUAGCGGCGGACGGGUGAGUAACACGUGGGUAACCUACCUAUAAGACUGGGAUAACUUCGGGAAACCGGCGCUAAUACCGGAUAACAUUUGGAACCGCAUGGUUCUAAAGUGAAAGAUGGUUUUGCUAUCACUUAUAGAUGGACCCGCGCCGUAUUAGCUAGUUGGUAAGGUAACGGCUUACCAAGGCGACGAUACGUAGCCGACCUGAGAGGGUGAUCGGCCACACUGGAACUGAGACACGGUCCAGACUCCUACGGGAGGCAGCAGUAGGGAAUCUUCCGCAAUGGGCGAAAGCCUGACGGAGCAACGCCGCGUGAGUGAUGAAGGGUUUCGGCUCGUAAAACUCUGUUAUUAGGGAAGAACAAAUGUGUAAGUAACUGUGCACGUCUUGACGGUACCUAAUCAGAAAGCCACGGCUAACUACGUG